UCCAGACUCCUACGGGAGGCAGCAGUGAGGAAUAUUGGUCAAUGGCCGGAAGGCUGAACCAGCCAAGUCGCGUGAGGGAAUAAGGCCCUAUGGGUCGUAAACCUCUUUUGUCAGGGAGCAAAGGCGUCCACGUGUGGACGAGAGGAGAGUACCUGAAGAAAAAGCAUCGGCUAACUCCGUGCCAGCAGCCGCGGUAAUACGGAGGAUGCGAGCGUUAUCCGGAUUUAUUGGGUUUAAAGGGUGCGUAGGCGGGCUGUUAAGUCAGCGGUCAAAUGUCGGGGCUCACCCCCGGCCUGCCGUUGAAACUGGCAGUCUCGAGUUGGAGAGAAGUAUGCGGAAUGCGCGGUGUAGCGGUGAGAUGCAUAGAUAUCGCGCAGAACUCCGAUUGCGAAGGCAGCAUGCCGGCUCCACACUGACGCUGAGGCACGAAAGCGUGGGUAUCGAACAGGAUUAGAUACCCCCGUAGCC
This 468-nucleotide ribosomal RNA is filed under the name uncultured bacterium. RNAcentral's name for it is "bacterial SSU rRNA". It matches the Rfam family "Bacterial small subunit ribosomal RNA", at positions 330 to 795 of the family's 1533-position model. The record is from RNAcentral.